AACCUCAAUCUUAUCUCUCUCGAUACCCAAACAUUCACGCGAACAAACCCUCAGCCUUCCUCUCACACCAAACUCGAUUGAUUCCUCUCACGCCAGCAACCUAAAAUCAACUCACCACCACCCGCUUCUCUCAGCCGUCCUCUCUCUCUCUCUCACUCUCAGCCUUCCUCUCUCUCUCUCACUCGUUCUCUCGAACUUGUCAAAUCGAAGCUUCUCUCUUGAACCCUAGCUCCAAAUCGAAGCUAUAAGGGGAACGAAUUGAAGCUUCUCUCCACUCUCACUAUUGUCGUCCUUUCUCUUUUUUCUCACCGGUCUCUGCUCUCACGAAUCGAAGCUUCUCUUUCUCUUUCACUAUUGUCGAACCUUCAUCGAUUCAGGGAUCCCUACUUAGAGUGUGUCAAUUCAGACCAUCAAAGUUUGUUGGCUUAGCUAUGAGCAAGGAGAUUAUAUAACUUGGUCUGUUUGGUUGAGAGAGAUCAAUGGUUGCUAUGGCCGGGCAGAAAGUAAUGCACUAUUGUCAUAUGGUCACAAACUAGAGUAACUAACAAAUGUUUCUGAUAUGACCAGGGGACCAUAAUAGUUUCUAUGUAAAGCUGGUUUCAAGUUUGCAAUUAAGGGAUAACUCAUGAGACAACUGGUUCAAUGUUGACUUGGACACUUUAUCUUCCAAGUAAGCUAAUAGUGUAAACCAUAAUUAGUAGAAUAGAAGAGACUUUAGUCAGAAGUAGGAAUGAAAAUUUCUAAUUUUUUUACAGAAUAAGUUAUUAUUUUAAUUAGUUUGCCUUGGUUUGAAAUAUUGUAUGACAUUUGGUAUUUUGGAUGAUGUUGAAUUUUAAUGACAUUUGAUUAUAUUAUGUAAUUGUAUUUUGGUUGAA
Long non-coding RNA from Trifolium pratense (red clover), 875 nucleotides. RefSeq lists it as uncharacterized. Lineage: Eukaryota; Viridiplantae; Streptophyta; Magnoliopsida; Fabales; Fabaceae. The record is from RefSeq and is a predicted model, not a curated record. The transcript has 4 exons.